UUUUUUUCAAAAAUACAGGUUGCUUUUAUGUAUCAUAGGUUGGUAAUAAACAUUUCAUUGUACCAGUUAUGUAAAUUAUAAAUUUGAGGUACAUCAUUUAAGCAGGAUUAAUUCAUGCCUGAGUUACUCAUUAAUGCCAUGGUUAAAAUUAUAUACUUAAAUGUACUCAGAACUCUAGAGAGCACCAUUCUUUGUUUGCAUGCACAAGAAAAUACAUAUAAACUAAUCUAAUCAAGGGUUAUUUAUAGUUCUAAUUGUCAAGUAGGUCUUAUCAACAUGAUUUUUGUCAGGUACCACUUUAUAAAUUCAUUCUAGUUUCUAAAUACCUCUUUCGUUGUUGUUAAAUUGGUUUAACAUAGGCUCAUACCUUAUUUAGUCUUUCUGUGCUAUUUAUCAUAUCUUCUAGCAAAAAGUCCAAAAAAAAAAAAAAAAAGAGAAUAAUCCACAUAUUAGAAUCACAUUAUUUUGUUUUGGAUCCUGGAAAACAUUCAUUAUAGAAAUAUUCAUUCACCCUGGCUCCCUCAUUUCCUACCUGGAACAUUGGAAAAGGCACUUAACUUCUCUGUACCUCAGUUACCUCACAAAAAAUGAAGCUAAUAAAAGCAGCUCACUAACAAAGUUCUAUGGUAAGGGUAAAAUUAGUCAGCAUAUGUAAAAUAAAGCAAGCAUUAUGUUAGGUGCUGCUACCAUCACUCUUAAUUCCUAUGUGACAUAGAUAUUCCUCAAAAGACAAAAUUAUAUCUAGUACCUCUCUAUAUAGAUACUGUGUAACCUUUUGAUGUCUUAUCACCUCCUACCAGAAAAGAGUAAAAAUGUAAAUUCCAUGGUAAUAAUGUCACAAAUUAAUACUAAGCCUGGACUAUACAUAAAUACCUUAAAAAUGAUAAAAUUCAGCCCAGCAAUCUGAAUAUAAUACACUAUGGGAAGCAUGUUUGUAUUACAGUUAAAAUGUAAGAAAACACACACACACACACACAAAACAAAAAUGAAACCUAUGAUGUGUUGCUUAACAUUUGAUGGAUUCCAUCUUGGGUGACUUAUUUUAACUUUGGAUGAAACAUGGGGUCUAAUUUCAAAUCUAGUCAUUGAAAAAAAUCUUAGUAGGACUUUAAUCAGGUUUAAGUUAUGAUAGUAGCCAUGGAAAGUGAGGAUGUAAACACAUUCUGACAGAAUAGAAACAUGAGAUUAUUCCUUUUAAGAGAAUUGCAUCUCUUUCCCUUAAAGGACAUUAAAAACUUCAACAAUUAUUUCUUUAGGAGGCAUUACUCUCCCCACAACUCCAUCACAGUUUUCCUUUAGACAAGUUCACAUUCCACUUUUUACAGGGACAUUUAUCUCUGUAAAAAAUAUGGGAUAUGUUAUGGCACUGUUGUUACACUGGACAGAUCAGCUCCUUGAAAGGGUCAAUGAUUUUCCUGUCAGACAUAAUUAUACACAGAGAGAUACAGGGAUCCGAGAAUGUAUGUCACAAGCAGAUAAUCUUUGCUUUGGGAGAAUCUUCAGGAGGCAAAGAGAUCUGAAUGCUUAUGGGGUAGAUCAAGUAGUAAGCUGAGACAAGGAGAAUCAGAGGUCUGGUGGGCCAUGGCUGGAAUGGUUCUGUGAAGAAAGCGUAGAAGAGACAGUGGAUAGAGAAGCAAUAGACAGGAGAGAAGAACACAGAUAAGCAAAGGUAAAAAACAACACACAGAGAAUCUUUAAGACAACUCAGAGUAUCAAUAACAUAAGAUUUUACACUUCUAUGAAAUAUACGCUAUGAUUCAUAACCUCAGAAAAUUAAACACUGGAAUGUUUCAUUCCUCUUCUGCAGGUAAUUAAAUACUGUGAAAUUAUUUGUAUCCUCUAUCCAUACAUUUGCCAUUGCUCUAUUGAAUAGAAGUGGUCUUACUUUUAAUGAACAUCUUAUGUUAAAAUGAUCACUUAUCCUCAUACUAUCUUGAUACAUAGCUUAAAAAUAAAAAAAAAAGAUAUAGAAGAACUGACUUUAUGAAAACAAAAUGAAUAAAAAGAACUAAUGAGGAGUUCCCAUCGAUGAUGGCUUUUAAUUUGCUUAAUAUACCAGAGCAGAGGAAUACUGUUAUUCAAAUUCAAAAUAGUUCUUCAGAAAUCUAGGUCUUGUUUACAAUCUUCCAUUUUCUACAUGUGGAUUGUGUUAUUAGUUUUUGACUAAGAGCCUGGUAGCUAAUACAUAAGAAAGCACUCAAUAAAUCACUGAUGAAGAAAUGGAAAGCUAAUUAGUCUUCUUGGAGUUCACAAGGAAAUAAACCCAACAUCAGCUAAUGACAGUUCUAUAGGUAUUUCAUAUUGUGGCUGUCAACUCUGACUAAAUACUAGGACACUUGGUAGAAGUUUUGGUAAAAUAUCAGUGAUGAAAAAGCCACAGACAAAUUCUGAAAUGGAAGAUCUAACUUAGAAGUGAAGGCAUCUAUAUUUUUACCUAUAUAAUCGAUGAUUCUAAAAUAUUGCAAUUUGAGAACCACUUUCAUUGACAACCAUUUGUUCCUAGAUGAGGAUCUAGAUAGACAUGCCCCAUGAGUAUAGGAAUCUAUCAUUUAUUCCACCAUGUUCAAAAUACCUAUCUCUAAUUGGAGGCAGAUUCUGCCUCAUAUGAUCAGCAAUUACGUUUAGUAUAUGCACAUACUUAAAAUGGAAAAAAAUGUUACUGCACUAUUGUAGUAUAGAACUGUUCCAUAUUAUAAACUCUCAGUCUAGUUUUGUAAUAAUAUAUAAUUAACAUUCAUGAGUUCACCUUAAGUUCUUACAUCACACUGCUAUUUUGCUAACUCAUAAAUUAUAAAGAAUUUAGGAAAUAAAUUUACAGGAGCUAAAUCAAAGGUAAUCCUAUCAUUUCUAUCCCUCCCUCAAUUAGAUGUAGAAUUUGAUGUCAAAAUAUGUGAAACCAAAUGCAUUCUCUUCCUUCCCCAAUCCUCAACAAAAUAAUUAUGAAAGAAAAGAAAACCAUUUUCUAGUUUAGGGGAAGUAUAUUUACAACUUGCCAGCUUGUGCCACUGCUGCUGAAUCUCUCCCCAUACUUUAUUUUUCCAAGAUUUGAUCUCUAUGAUAUUUGAAGGCUCUUCCCUGCCUUUCUGAAUCUCCCCUUCUUUUCCAGUAUGUAUAGCAGCUACAUAGCAAUUCCUCCCUCUAUGUGAACAUCUGUUGGGAUUUAUGGCUUGCCCCAUUGCAUAUGUUCUACAGAACCAAAUCAGCCCUGGUCAACUCAGUCUCAGAGUAUUUCAAUCAGGCCACUACAUUUUAAAAUGCUUAAAAAAAAAAAAAAAAGCCAGAUACCACAUACUAAGUUUUAACAUUUCCAUCACAGAAAGCAUUUCAUUCCCUUCUAUUUCUAGUGCCUCAAUCAGAAUCUGUCAUCUAGUUGGCUAACAUCAAAUAUUUGUUGAAUAAGCAGAUAUAUUAAGAUGAUGGUUAGGGUACAAUAAAUACAGAGAACAUAUUAUUUGUUCUGAUUCAUAA
This 3468-nucleotide long non-coding RNA is filed under the name Sus scrofa (pig). Its description in RNAcentral is "lncRNA (ENSSSCG00055004103.1)". The record is from RNAcentral. Lineage: Eukaryota; Metazoa; Chordata; Mammalia; Artiodactyla; Suidae.